This 30-nucleotide non-coding RNA is filed under the name Mus musculus (house mouse). The record is from RNAcentral. Lineage: Eukaryota; Metazoa; Chordata; Mammalia; Rodentia; Muridae.
AGGGCCAAGUUGGCGACUCUGUCCUUAAGU